UCUCGGUGGAUAAUCUGCUUCUCUGCAUAUGUGUGGAGAUAAGUUAAUGCAUGUGCAACAUCAAUGGAUAUUUCAAGCCUUUGAUUAAAGUCCAGAAUUCUUCCACGCUGACCAUCCAAAUGUUCUCUAAGAGUACCAUUUGGCACAUACUCAGUAAUAAUAAGGCGCUCAGUUCCUUUUUCAACAUAACCAAGUAAUUUCACCAGAUUCCGAUGAUCAAUUUUUGCCAGAAGCUCAACUUCACUGCUGAAUUCAGU
RNAcentral lists this unclassified non-coding RNA (257 nucleotides) under Hevea brasiliensis (rubber tree). The record is from RNAcentral. Lineage: Eukaryota; Viridiplantae; Streptophyta; Magnoliopsida; Malpighiales; Euphorbiaceae.